GGAAUAUUGGUCAAUGGCCGGAAGGCUGAACCAGCCAUGCCGCGUGAAGGUCAGUGCCCUAUGGGUUUUAAACUUCUUUUAUAUGGGAAUAAAGUGCAGUAUGUAUACUGCUUUGCAUGUACCUUAUGAAUAAGGAUCGGCUAACUCCGUGCCAGCAGCCGCGGUAAUACGGAGGAUCCGAGCGUUAUCCGGAUUUAUUGGGUUUAAAGGGAGCGUAGGCGGGUUGUUAAGUCAGUUGUGAAAGUUUGCGGCUCAACCGUAAAAUUGCAGUUGAUACUGGCAUCCUUGAGUACAGUAGAGGUAGGCGGAAUUCGUGGUGUAGCGGUGAAAUGCUUAGAUAUCACGAAGAACUCCGAUUGCGAAGGCAGCCUGCUGGACUGUAACUGACGCUGAUGCUCGAAAGUGUGGGUAUCAAACA
Molecule: ribosomal RNA, 418 nt
Filed under: uncultured bacterium
Lineage: Bacteria
Description: bacterial SSU rRNA
Rfam family: Bacterial small subunit ribosomal RNA
Source: RNAcentral